Molecule: ribosomal RNA, 305 nt
Filed under: uncultured bacterium
Lineage: Bacteria
Description: bacterial SSU rRNA
Rfam family: Bacterial small subunit ribosomal RNA
Source: RNAcentral
GCCUACGGGACGCAGCAGUGAGGAAUAUUGGUCAAUGGGCGGGAGCCUGAACCAGCCAAGUCGCGUGAGGGACGACGGUCCUAUGGAUUGUAAACCUCUUUUGUCGGGGAACGAAGGCGCCCACGGGUGGGCGGAUGAGUGUACCCGAAGAAAAAGCAUCGGCUAACUCCGUGCCAGCAGCCGCGGUAAUACGGAGGAUCCGAGCGUUAUCCGGAUUUAUUGGGUUUAAAGGGAGCGUAGAUGGGUUGUUAAGUCAGUUGUGAAAGUUUGCGGCUCAACCGUAAAAUUGCAAUUGAUACUGGCGU